GUAGGGAAUCUUCGGCAAUGGACGAAAGUCUGACCGAGCAACGCCGCGUGAGUGAAGAAGGUUUUCGGAUCGUAAAACUCUGUUGGUAGAGAAGAACGUUGGUGAGAGUGGAAAGCUCAUCAAGUGACGGUAACUACCCAGAAAGGGACGGCUAACUACGUGCCAGCAGCCGCGGUAAUACGUAGGUCCCGAGCGUUGUCCGGAUUUAUUGGGCGUAAAGCGAGCGCAGGUGGUUUAUUAAGUCUGGUGUAAAAGGCAGUGGCUCAACCAUUGUGUGCAUUGGAAACUGGGAGACUUGAGUGCAGGAGAGGAGAGUGGAAUUCCAUGUGUAGCGGUGAAAUGCGUAGAUAUAUGGAGGAACACCGGUGGCGAAAGCGGCUCUCUGGCCUGUAACUGACACUGAGGCUCGAAAGCGUGGGGAGCAAACAGGAUUAGAAACCCGAGUAGUCC
This 450-nucleotide ribosomal RNA is filed under the name uncultured bacterium. Its description in RNAcentral is "partial 16S ribosomal RNA". It matches the Rfam family "Bacterial small subunit ribosomal RNA", at positions 354 to 796 of the family's 1533-position model. The record is from RNAcentral.